Molecule: ribosomal RNA, 253 nt
Filed under: uncultured bacterium
Lineage: Bacteria
Description: partial 16S ribosomal RNA
Rfam family: Bacterial small subunit ribosomal RNA
Source: RNAcentral
UACGUAGGGUGCAAGCGUUAAUCGGAAUUACUGGGCGUAAAGCGUGCGCAGGCGGUUUUGUAAGUCUGAUGUGAAAUCCCCGGGCUCAACCUGGGAAUUGCAUUGGAGACUGCAAGGCUGGAGUCUGGCAGAGGGGGGUAGAAUUCCACGUGUAGCAGUGAAAUGCGUAGAGAUGUGGAGGAACACCGAUGGCGAAGGCAGCCCCCUGGGUCAAGACUGACGCUCAUGCACGAAAGCGUGGGGAGCAAACAGG